Molecule: ribosomal RNA, 504 nt
Filed under: uncultured bacterium
Lineage: Bacteria
Description: bacterial SSU rRNA
Rfam family: Bacterial small subunit ribosomal RNA
Source: RNAcentral
CAGAGCGAACGUUAGCGGCGGGCCUAACACAUGCAAGUCGAACGCGAAAGGUCUUCGGACUGAGUAGAGUGGCGCACGGGUGAGUAACACGUAGGUAAUCUACCCUUUGGCGGGGGAUAACGUUCCGAAAGGAGCGCUAAUACCGCAUAAGACCACGGAGUCUCCGGACGCUGUGGGAAAAGGUGGCCUCUUCUUGAAAGCUACCACCGAAGGAUGAGCCUGCGUCCCAUCAGCUAGUUGGUAAGGUAAUGGCUUACCAAGGCGAAGACGGGUAGCUGGUUUGAGAGAAUGAUCAGCCACACUGGCACUGGAACACGGGCCAGACUCCUACGGGAGGCAGCAGUGAGGAAUAUUGGGCAAUGGGCGAAAGCCUGACCCAGCCACGCCGCGUGAGUGAUGAAGGCCCUCGGGUCGUAAAGCUCUGUGGAGAGGGACGAAAACCCUGGUUUCAAAUAGGCUCCAGGCUUGACGGUACCUCUUUAGCAAGCACCGGCUAACUCUGUG